RNAcentral lists this ribosomal RNA (118 nucleotides) under Bipolaris sorokiniana. RNAcentral also lists the same sequence under 1 other name. Lineage: Eukaryota; Fungi; Ascomycota; Dothideomycetes; Pleosporales; Pleosporaceae. The record is from RNAcentral.
ACAUACGAUCAUAGGAUUCUGGAUCAGGGAAACCCAUCCGUUCUUCAUGCUUAAGCAGUUUACCGGCAGAUUAGUAGUCAGGUGGGUGACUACUGGCGAAUACCCGCUGUCGUAUGUU